Long non-coding RNA from Erigeron canadensis, 504 nucleotides. RefSeq lists it as uncharacterized. NCBI's taxonomy places the organism in Eukaryota, Viridiplantae, Streptophyta, Magnoliopsida, Asterales, Asteraceae. The transcript is spliced from 3 exons. The record is from RefSeq and is a predicted model, not a curated record.
UGUUCGGUAACCCGACCACCCCUCUUUAGGAGCGACUGUCGCUCCUAAAGGGUCGACCCAUUUAUUGCUCGCGGAUACCUAUGCAUAUACCCGUUGGAACCGUUGACCCGUCAAACCCCUCUUUAGGAGCGACUGUCGCUCCUAAAGGGGUGCCUCGAAAAAAUUAAUAUAUUCUUUCUCUGUACCGAUCCAUCCCCUUAGUCAUUCCCUUCUCCCUUUCUCUUCUCCAUUCCAACCGAUCCAACCCCCCUCUCCCCCAUAUUUUCCGGCCAAGAUAUUCCGGUGAGGCUUUAGGAGCGACCCAGUUUUUCAGUGAGGCUUUAGGAGCGACCCGUCGUUACCCCUUUCGUAAACCCAACGUUGAAAUAUAAGAAAAAUGCUAGGAGCUCACGGCGGCGACGGCGAUGGAAACGAUCCGCACCGAUCGUGGUGGAAGAAAAUAACAGGCUGCAAAAACAGCGGGUCGAAGAAAACACCACCACCACAAGAGGGGCAGCCAAACAU